This 619-nucleotide long non-coding RNA is filed under the name Astyanax mexicanus (Mexican tetra). RNAcentral's name for it is "lncRNA (ENSAMXG00005003514.1)". Lineage: Eukaryota; Metazoa; Chordata; Actinopteri; Characiformes; Acestrorhamphidae. The record is from RNAcentral.
AUGACAAAGGUGGAUAUCAAGGUGUACUUUUCAGAGGAUGCUGUGGCACCCUCUGACUGGACUAUUUACACUGGAAAGAACUACUUUCCCACAGAUAUGGAUUGGGACAACUCCUCUGUGACUGAUGCAGUCCUCCAGGUGAGCGGUUGUCUCCGGUUGAGAGUAUGCUGUGCGCGAUUGGCUGCUGCUUCUCACUGGUGUGUGUUGCUCUAUUGGAAACACUGCUGUUCCAGAUGUACAGAAUGGAAUAUGACAGCGUGACCGUUCACUGGGCUCUAAUGACCGAGGAUCUACACGCCAGCGCUUUAUGAGGGACGAAGACGGAUUAUAAUUGGACGUUAUUGCCUCUGGCAUAAUUCUUUAUAAUGGCUCCUUCAUUGUUCACAUUACAAUACGUUCAGAUCUACCUCUUCUUUAUAAUAAGGUGCUGUCACUGUCAUGCAUGCAUAUUUAAAAGCGAGGGGGAGGGGUCUUAUACAUGAGAUUGGAGCAGAUUUUAAUGUAUGGUAGAAAUUAUAAGUACGUUUUUAAUUUGUAAUAAGGGUGUUAUAAACAAUAUUUUCUUUUGUAAUUAACAUUUUGACAUGUUGAUUAUAAUUAAACUAUAAUUCAUUUUAAU